CGGUCCAGACUCCUACGGGAGGCAGCAGUGGGGAAUAUUGCACAAUGGGCGCAAGCCUGAUGCAGCCAUGCCGCGUGUGUGAAGAAGGCCUUCGGGUUGUAAAGCACUUUCAGCGGGGAGGAAGGCGUUAAGGUUAAUAACCUUGGCGAUUGACGUUACCCGCAGAAGAAGCACCGGCUAACUCCGUGCCAGCAGCCGCGGUAAUACGGAGGGUGCAAGCGUUAAUCGGAAUUACUGGGCGUAAAGCGCACGCAGGCGGUCUGUCAAGUCGGA
This 273-nucleotide ribosomal RNA is filed under the name Klebsiella pneumoniae. Its description in RNAcentral is "partial 16S ribosomal RNA". It matches the Rfam family "Bacterial small subunit ribosomal RNA", at positions 327 to 592 of the family's 1533-position model. Lineage: Bacteria; Pseudomonadati; Pseudomonadota; Gammaproteobacteria; Enterobacterales; Enterobacteriaceae. The record is from RNAcentral.